RNAcentral lists this long non-coding RNA (545 nucleotides) under Homo sapiens (human). RNAcentral describes it as "HSALNT0053910". Lineage: Eukaryota; Metazoa; Chordata; Mammalia; Primates; Hominidae. The record is from RNAcentral.
CCACGUGAGCAUACUGGGCUGAAAAUGGUAAGCAGGAUUUGUAAUUUCUUCUAAGUCGAGUCGACCCUUUGAUGACUCUGCUCCCCUGGAACUCUGAUAAAGGUAAAAUGUCAACUCAGUUUCCAGGCAAAACAUCUGAUGACCACAUCUGGACCUGGAGGACUAUGAAUGAACUAUAAAUACAUGGUGGGAGCCACCACUUUAGGUUUCCCCCUGUGCGAUGAGUUCUUUUAACUGGACAUACCCUUAACUGGGUAUCAUGUGACUGCUAAGAGAGAUACUAAUCCUAUGUAGAACACGGACUUCUAAGCCAAGCUGGCUAUGACACCCAUCUGCAUGAAUCUCAUUCUCUCCAACUUAAACUGUCAUUUAGGGGAACAGUAAGACCAGUUCUUGGACUGCUUAGAGUAUACCACCAAGGAGAAGAGAACUACCUAAUGCUGCCCUGCGAGCUUGCUGUGUUUCCUGUCUGACAUCCUGCUAAGUGAAUCCAUUGCCAAGAGCAGCUUACUGUAGGCCUGUGUGAGUCUAAAGGCCUAGAUGAA